CCAAUAGCGUAUAUUAAAGUUGUUGCAGUUAAAAAGCUCGUAGUUGAAUUUCGGGGUUCUACCGUUGGUCGGGCUAUUGUCUGUACUGGCGUGUAGAAUUUCUACCUUCUGGGGAACUAUCAUGUUAUUAAUUUAGCGUGGUAGGAAACCAGAACCUCUACCUUGAAAAAAUUAGAGUGUUCAAAGCAGGCUUAUGUCUGAAUACAUUAGCAUGGAAUAAUAAAAUAGGACGGUGGUCCUGUUUUGUUGGUUUCUGAAUCACCGUAAUGAUUAAUAGGGAUAGUUGGGGGCAUUAGUAUUCAAUUGUCAGAGGUGAAAUUCUUGGAUUUAUUGAAGACUAACUACUGCGAAAGCAUUUGCCAAGGAUGUUUUCAUUAAUCAAGAACGAAAGUUAGGGGAUCGAAGACGAUCAGAUACCGUCGUAGUCUUAACCAUAAACUAUGCCGACUAGGGAUCGGACGAUGUUAACUUUUCUUGACUCGUUCGGCGCCUUACG
RNAcentral lists this ribosomal RNA (496 nucleotides) under uncultured Glomeromycotina. Its description in RNAcentral is "partial small subunit ribosomal RNA". It matches the Rfam family "Eukaryotic small subunit ribosomal RNA", at positions 591 to 1092 of the family's 1831-position model. The record is from RNAcentral. Lineage: Eukaryota; Fungi; Glomeromycota.